AUUGAUUCAAGGUGAAAGUCAAACAUAAUGGUGGCGAGCGUGUGAGCCGCUUUUGUCUCCGCCGCACAAUCUUACAGCUUGUUGAGUCCCCCGAACGUCUGUUUAGAACGUUGUUUGACAUUCUCAAGCAC
Molecule: non-coding RNA, 131 nt
Organism: Caenorhabditis elegans
Lineage: Eukaryota; Metazoa; Nematoda; Chromadorea; Rhabditida; Rhabditidae
Source: Ensembl